This is a ribosomal RNA of 108 nucleotides. It matches the Rfam family "Bacterial large subunit ribosomal RNA", at positions 2818 to 2925 of the family's 2925-position model. The record is from Rfam.
AGGUUUCUGUUGAGGCUCCCGAUAGACUAUCGGGUUGAUAGGCCGGACGUGGAAGCAUGGUAACAUGUGGAGCUGACCGGUACUAAUAUUGCCGACAACUAACACCAC